This is a long non-coding RNA of Micropterus dolomieu (smallmouth bass), 770 nucleotides long. RefSeq lists it as uncharacterized. The transcript is spliced from 2 exons. NCBI's taxonomy places the organism in Eukaryota, Metazoa, Chordata, Actinopteri, Centrarchiformes, Centrarchidae. The record is from RefSeq and is a predicted model, not a curated record.
UCCGGCGUGGUGGCAUCAUCAGCAUCAUCAGGGUCCUUUUCUAAAAAUAGACAACAUAAGAAAUCUGAAUCAGCUCUGUAAUUCAACAUUGACCCAGGACAUUUCUUUGUGUGCAGGUAUAGUUAGAUAAAAUGACGCCCAGAGCACCACUCUGAACGUUUACGCUUCUCUCUGACUGGUUGCAUCAUCUCGGCACAUGUAACCCUUGUCUACUGAAGUUCAGUUGGGAGCUUGACGUGGAGAUCAGGCUGAGCCCAGCCCUGCAGCCAUGCCGCUGCCAGAUUCACCAAAUUAUAUGUAAAGAGGUUCCUGGACAAUUUAAUCCCGCUGGGAGACAUGGCUUUAUACCACAGCAAUGGUCUGGUGGAGAGACCAACAGAGAGCACUGAUGUCGGAUAAAGACUUUCUGCAAUAAGCGUCUGUGUUUGCAGCACAAUGUCUUGUGUGAGGUUCAUUCUCUCAGUUUCAGCACUGCGGAUAAAAACAGUAAGUAGCCUGUUAUCUCUGGGCUGUAAAAAAAACCCCCAGUUUCAUUCAUGUUUGAUGAUAUGUAUUUUAUUGUAUUGUUGUACAACUGACACAAUUAAGCCCACUAAUGGAUCUCAAAUUCUACUUGUCCAUAUGUCCAGGUUCCUCCAUCUCUUUUCAACAUCACAAUAAGAAACAGAGAUGAAGCACUUACAAAUAUUUAAAGAAAGCAAGAAGGAGGUUUUAAAUGUAGCUGUAAGAGGGAAGGUUACAUUUUUGUUUUUCUCUUCUAUAAAUCUGUA